GACGAAUGCUGGCGGCGUGCUUAACACAUGCAAGUCGAACGGAAAGGCCCUGCUUGCAGGGUACUCGAGUGGCGAACGGGUGAGUAACACGUGGGUGAUCUGCCCUGCACUUCGGGAUAAGCCUGGGAAACUGAGUCUAAUACCGGAUAGGAGCCAUUUUUAGUGCGAUGGUUGGAAAGUUUUUUCGGUGUAGGAUGAGCUCGCGGCCUAUCAGCUUGUUGGUGGGGUAAUGGCCUACCAAGGCGGCGACGGGUAGCCGGCCUGAGAGGGUGGACGGCCACAUUGGGACUGAGAUACGGCCCAGACUCCUACGGGAGGCAGCAGUGGGGAAUAUUGCACAAUGGGCGCAAGCCUGAUGCAGCGACGCCGCGUGGGGGAUGACGGCCUUCGGGUUGUAAACUCCUUUCGCUAGGGACGAAGCUUUUGUGACGGUACCUAGAGAAGAAGCACCGGCUAACUACGUG
RNAcentral lists this ribosomal RNA (464 nucleotides) under uncultured bacterium. RNAcentral's name for it is "partial 16S ribosomal RNA". It matches the Rfam family "Bacterial small subunit ribosomal RNA", at positions 28 to 507 of the family's 1533-position model. The record is from RNAcentral.